UAGGGAAUUUUCGUCAAUGGGCGCAAGCCUGAACGAGCAAUGCCGCGUGAACGAGGAAGGUCUUCGGAUCGUAAAGUUCUGUUGAAGGGGGAAAAAGAGCGGAGAGAGGAAAUGGUCUCCGAUUGAUAUUACCCUUCGAGGAAGUCACGGCUAACUACGUGCC
Molecule: ribosomal RNA, 163 nt
Filed under: uncultured bacterium
Lineage: Bacteria
Description: partial 16S ribosomal RNA
Rfam family: Bacterial small subunit ribosomal RNA
Source: RNAcentral